RNAcentral lists this long non-coding RNA (1221 nucleotides) under Struthio camelus australis. Its description in RNAcentral is "lncRNA (ENSSCUG00000004224.1)". The record is from RNAcentral. Lineage: Eukaryota; Metazoa; Chordata; Aves; Struthioniformes; Struthionidae.
UUUUAAUAUUAACAGGAACAAGAGCUGUCUGAGAUAGGAUAGAGAAGCUCAGAUGAGAAGAAAAUACGGAAAAAACUAAUUGUAGAAAAGGGAAGCAGAUAGAUAGAAUAUUUUUUCCUACAGUACUAGAGGUUAUAUAACUCCCAGAUAAACAAGGCACUAGCCUUAUUCUUUUUAAGAGGAGCUUCCCUGAAAAGAGUCAGAGGGAAAUUUCAUUGAGCUGCUGUCUAAAAUUCAACUGGACAUUUUGUAAGGAAGAAAACAGAGAUAACUUGACUACAGGAUGUUCUGAUGCAGGUCUCAGUGAUGAUAUCCACCUGGCAACAGCUCCAUUCACUUAGACAGUGAACUUCCCAUGACUCCAGUGGGUGUUUUGCAUGACUAAGGACAGUCGGCACUGACCCAAGCCAGUAAGUCCUUGAGAGGUGUUUCUGCCAGCCUGCCUUCCCAAAUGCACUUGGAGGUGGUUUGUGACAAACAAUUUUCUGUUCUCAGUACUUAUGCUCUGACCCCAGGGGGAAAAGGGCGUGUUGCACCUACUACACCCUGGAGGACCAUUUUCAGCUCUGCUUGUCUGGUAGCCAAGGGACUCCAGAUUUGGUCUGACAAAUGCACUGGAAGGAGCAGAAUUUGGGAGACUCUGCCUGCCUGCAUAUUUGGAGAAGGGUGGGAGUCCCUGGCAUGAUCAGAGGAUAUGUUGGCCACUGUCCCAUUAAGACUGGGAAUGAAACAAUGGCAGAGUUUGCCACAGCCCCCACGUCAGCCUCUUCAGAGACAGAAUCUGGGCCAGAAGUCCCCUGGUGAAGCCUGCAAACCCUGCCUGGAGCAGAUGAAACUGCAAGCAGACUGUUUGUGGAUCAGUGCUCUCCUUCCCACACAGACAUAUGCCUGAGGAGAAAAACAAUGAAACGUUCAGAGGUACAAGCUGCUUUUCUAAGUCCUCAUAAAAGCACCGGCUCUGUUGCCAUCGAACUGUCAUAUGAAAUCCAAGAUAUUAAAGGUGAUCUCCCCUAUCCCCUCCAAAGGACUGCUUUACUGCAAGUACAGAAAAGAACAUAUUUGGAAAGGAGCAUUGGGUGGCCGCUACCAAGCCAACAGUGGAAAAGGCAACAAGAUGCAUGUAAGCUGUGCAUGUUACAUUGUGGGGAACAGGACUUUCACUGUCCUACAGAUCCUUUUGAGCAAGACUUCUGUCACUUUAAGUCUCCAAAAAAUAAGUAA